This is a long non-coding RNA of Belonocnema kinseyi, 736 nucleotides long. RefSeq lists it as uncharacterized. The record is from RefSeq and is a predicted model, not a curated record. NCBI's taxonomy places the organism in Eukaryota, Metazoa, Arthropoda, Insecta, Hymenoptera, Cynipidae. The transcript has 3 exons.
GUCCGCUCUCUGUUCAUUACAUUAUUUAUUCUCGGAUGUAUUUUAAUUAUUCUCAUCUGAUUCUAAAUGAAAGCUGCAGGGAGUACAUGGUUAAAAGCAUUUCUUGGUCAAGGGAUUUUCACGUCUGAGAAUCACAAAAAACAAUAGUUAAUGAACUUUGAUCGGAAAGAAAAUAACAACAUAACCUUCCAACUGUCUAAAUGGGAUGAGUGGUUUUAAUUCAUUUAAACACAAUUCGCAUUCUUCUCUUCUGCAAUUGUAAUAACACUGUCACAUACGUGGGACCCGACUCGUCUGAUCUGUUCUCUUUCGACAAGAUCAGCUAAAAAUUUUCUUACAACUUUAUAAUACACUGGGGCCAAAUGUUAAGGUAUUCCUGGUACUGCUGGCAUCGUGUGGCCUCGAAAUGUGGUUAUGUGCAUAGCAAGGAAGCCGAUGAAGCAGCGUAGGGACAAAGGAGUAUUGCGCAGGAGGAGUAGUGCGCAGUUAUUCACGCGUGGAUAUUGCGUAAUAGGUUCCACGCCGCUGAGUGUUUAAGUUUGGAUAUCUUGACAAUGGGAUCAAAGCUAUGUCCAAAAUAUAUCUUAUCUCCAAGCCCCUGUGUAAUGUACUCUAAGUAAAAGAAUUAAUCACACACAAAUUAACCCAGAAAAAUCUGCCCGCUGCGCGUUUUCAUAUUCUGAUUUUUCUACGUAAUUAAAUGUGUAUAGUGAAAGAUUAAGGUGCUUCCUCAGAC